This 453-nucleotide long non-coding RNA is filed under the name Elaeis guineensis (African oil palm). RNAcentral's name for it is "long non-coding RNA (EGUI_LNC056122)". The record is from RNAcentral. Lineage: Eukaryota; Viridiplantae; Streptophyta; Magnoliopsida; Arecales; Arecaceae.
ACUCUUACAUCUCACUUGCAUGCUAUGCCAGUGUCUCCAUACUCUUUGAUUAAGAAGACAAUCAACAUACUAUUGUGCCACAUUUUUAAGUGUGUGGAGUACCUCCCACCAGGAGAUCAAUGAAGAAAACUCGCUGGAAGGGGAUGAAACACGUUGAAGAAGAACAGGAUGCUGCUGUUGAAUUCUACUGGCACCAAGAAGUCUUCAAACUUCUUCAACUCUUCGCUGAUCCUUCGUCUGGGCUUCAAACUAGAAACACCAUGUCUUGGGGUCUUGAAAAAGGUUUGAAACCAGCAACCAAGUCUUAAGACUCAAAGUAGAGGUGUCAGCAAAUAGAAAUAGGGCAGCAAGUAAUCCUAGUAGGACUAGGAAACCUUGGGCGGCUAGAUAAGGGAUUCUCCUUGCUCCUUGAUGAUGGCGGCUAGGGUUUUUUCACCCUAAGGUGUGGCAACC